RNAcentral lists this transfer RNA (89 nucleotides) under Oligoflexia bacterium. RNAcentral's name for it is "tRNA-Leu". It matches the Rfam family "tRNA". Rfam says of the family: Transfer RNA (tRNA) molecules are approximately 80 nucleotides in length. Their secondary structure includes four short double-helical elements and three loops (D, anti-codon, and T loops). The record is from RNAcentral. Lineage: Bacteria; Pseudomonadati; Bdellovibrionota; Oligoflexia.
GCCGGGGUGGCGAAAUUGGUAGACGCACAGGACUUAAAAUCCUGAGUUCCGCAAGGGGCGUACCGGUUCGAUUCCGGUCCUCGGCACCA